CCUGGUAUUUCUUAUUUUUAUCUACACUAAGCUACAAUCACAAAUAAAAAGCAGUCCUAAGACAGCCAUGUCAGUGUGAUUUCUAAACAGUUUAGAAUUAUCACGAGUUAUCAGAAUUAUCUGUUUAGAAAUAUCACGAGAUUUUUAAGUAACUGUUCAUGAAGGGGGAAGACUCCCCCUUGCUGAUAUACAAGCCCUCCCCAGCAAAGACCAUAAUAAUAUCUGUUCUUUUCUUGUUUUGAGAAAAACCUUCAUUAUAAAGCUGGAAUUAAGGCCACGUGACGUCACAAACAACUUUGGGAAGGUGAAAUAAUUAUUUAUUGAAGGUAAUAGCUUCCUAUUAUGAUUACCAUAACAAUUAGCGUAAUUCUCUAUAAAGCUCUGAGUAAUAUCUAAUUUACUGGAGAAAAACAGCAAAUAAAUAACAUUGUCUGCUCUAGAAAACAUAUUAGUACCAAAUGUGAUUUACUAUAUAGACAGCAGGAGAGCUUCAUUGUCCUUAGCACUCCUCUCUUGCUUUUGAAUGUUUGGCUUAGUCAAAGUUAUGAGUCAAUUAGGCUGUUGUCACUUAGCAACCACAACUGGGUUCAGGAGCAAAGCACUUGGGAGCAGACUGCACUUGACUACUAAACAUUGCCACUCCAGCACAUCCAGCACCACGCUUUCUUACUCACAAAAAAUGGGGAGGAAGGGAGCACAGAGAAAAGUGGCUUCUAAAAGUAUUCACAUCCCCUUUUUCAAGCUACCAUAGGAGCAUUAUCUUCCCCUGAUUUCCCAUCAUCCCAUCAGCCAUACAGAAUGCUUUUUGAAGGAGUGUUUGAGACAUUAAGGACAGAGGUAAGCCUCUUUGUUUGAUAUUAUUGGAUCUCAAUCCCACCAGUGUUUCACCUGUCUUGUACCUUCACCUAAUACUCUGGAAAAUAAUAAGCAUGCAAGAGUGCCACCAACUGCAACAUGGGGCUGCCUUUAUACUAAUCAAAUCACAAAGGUGCUUGCUUCUGCUGUGAAAGUUGGCUGGAAGCUUUGUCAGCAAGCGCAGUGGUGGAAUAUUCGUGAGACUAAAUCCCAUCUCACUCUGAUUAUUCCAACAAACUUUUUUUUUUGCCAGUCAGAAUUUGAGCUUAAACAUAUGGAGAAUCCUGCAGAUACUACCACUUAUCAGUGACUGAUGCUGGAAUACCUUAAGAUAUGUAUUCAGGAUGUCCCUGGAUCAAUAGCAAGUUUUGAAUAAAAAUAUUAUUACAGUAAUUUCACAUUUCCUGUAAAUCAUGAGACUUAAGUACUUCCAAAGUUGGAGACACUGCAAACACUGGUGAUGAAAAAAAAAUUAUUCCUUCAUAGAAAAAGUACUUCAAACAACUCCUUUUUCCCUCACCCCGAAGUAUCCUAAGGAGAUUUUUAAAACCUACAUGAUCCUCUGCCCGCUCUUGUAGCAGGUAGGAAGGCCUGGAGAAAGCAGUGGAACCACAUAGCAUCCAGCACAAGAUUGUAGACAUUCUGGUCCAGAUCUUGAUGCAUCCCUACAAUGCAAAUAAAUAAGUGCUAAGAGUUAUUUGCAAAAAUAAAAUGCAGAUGACAGAAAACCAAUCAGUUUAGAAAGAUCACAAUGCAUCAGUUGAGAUUCAAGGCCUAAUUCUGAUGCUGUUUAGAGCCAUUUAAAGCAGGGACUCUGAAGGAACAAAGGCUGGUUCCUUCCACACACUGGUGCAUAGGAAGGCAGCCCUGGGUGCCUUCUGCUUACAGCUGUGACCUGACAAAAGCUGUCUGGAAUCUCAGAUGCACAACAGAAGGCUCAAGGCCACCAUCCAAGAGUGUGUCAAGUGAGUGAUUUCCUAGGAGUUUAAACAUAGGCUUGAAAAAUGUCAGAUGUAUUACAGGAACUCCCAGUGCAAGCUGAAGCCCAGUGCAGUUGGUCUCAGAGCAGUGACUGGUGAGCAUAAUUUUGCUCAGAUACUCUAGCAUCCAGUUAAACUACUCCACAGUUUUCAGAUGUAGCUGAAAAUACCAGUAGCUGACUAUUUGUCAUUAUAUUUUGCCUCUGAAAGUCACUGUGGAAAACAAAGGUAAUUAAUUUGGCUGCUGCAUGCAAUGCUUGCAGGGUAGCCCCUAAGUAUUUUGUUCAGCCCCAGUACAUUCAAAGGAAAAGAGUCUCAGUGUAUUCACGGAGGAUCCAAUUUUCUGCUUGUCGUAUCUAGCAGAAAAGCCUUGGCUGGCAGGAGAGUGCUGCUGCUGCCCAGGGAAGAGCAGUUCUCUCUUGCUGCACCAUCUCACCUCAUCUAUCGCUCCAGUGACCUGCUCAGUGAUCAUUCCUUGGAGAUCCAGCUCUACAAACAGCAUCUGCCAGAGAUGCAGAUACGCAGUAAAAUGGAGUCAACAGGUAUGAAGUAGAACCUGCUGCUACAGUGCUCUGGCAGCUUAAGAGCUGUUGCCUCCCCUGCACAACUCAGAGCAACAAGAAGCAGCAAAAAGCCAGAUUACUUUCCUCACAAUGGCGGUAUCACAAAAGUCUGUAUGUAUCUGAAUCCCUCACAGCACCAUCCCUAAAGCCUUUGCCCAGCCAAAUUCCAGGCUGCAUACCAGCUGUAUACAUUUGUGUGUGUGUUUUUCUUCUCUGCUACCCAUCCACAGCUGUCAUACCAAGCUGCCCCAUGCUGCUGCAGAUCCUUUUCCGUGGCCUGUGCACUCCAAUUAGUCAUGAAGCUUAGUGUCUUCUUACAGAGCAAAGAAUUUUGAAGACAUGGGCACAGGAUCAAUGUAAACAGCAGAAGAAUAAGAAAUGCUUAGAGUCCUGUUUGAUAGCACUCCUAAGCUUUAGAAUAUGAAGUUCAGAGCUCCUGUGAACAGCAGUCACUGCAGUAGCAGUGAGGUAAGAAAUGAUCGUUUCAAUACAAACAAGGAAUAUUUUAUAAAACUGCUAACACUAAGAGCUAACAGCUACUUAGGACAUUCAAUAUUUCUAUGUCUAAAUUUCUUGUGUUUUGAAAAUGAAAUCAGUGUAACAUCCAACAACAUUCUUGGUAAUUAGAAACAUUAAGCAUGUUCUAUAAAGCAAUGUGAUUACAUUUAAAUUGCUUCUAAUAACAUAAAUUGCACCACGAAACAACUAUAUUUCCAUGUGCUAAAAUAAGGAAACAAUGUUUGUAGUAGGCGUGGCGAGCACGUAGCAAUAAACUCCAUUUUGCCUCGCUUACUUCUGGGGUCUGUGCGAGCAUUUGGCCCCGACCUGGUCAGGGUCGGUUUCGCUGAGUUGCAGCGUCCUUCUCCGCGACGCGGAGAAGAGCCUGCGGGGUGGCGGCAGGUCGCGUGCGUAACCAUGGACCAAGUCAUUAAGGUGUAGCUGCGGCGCAGGCCUUGAAGGAGAUUGAGCGCUUAGCAUGUUGGUCGGUUAGGCAAGCGAAUUUAACAUUAAUAUUGAAUGCGAUGUUGGAGGACACGAACAGCGUCCGGCACGCGGUGUUGCAAAAUCGAGCGGCCAUCAAUUUCUUACUCCUAGCACAAGGACACGGGUGUGAAGACGUAGAGGGGAUGUGUUGCUUCAAUCUUAGCGAUCAUAGUGUGUCCAUUCACAAAGCGCUUCAAGCUAUGAAGGAACAUACGGAGAAGAUUCAGAUGAACGACGAUCCCAUAGGGGAUUGGUUUAAACGCACAUUCGGCAAUAUCGGAGAGUGGCUCGCGCAGGGUGUCAAGACGCUAGCGUUCGCAUUGCUUGUCAUUAUCUUUAUAGCAGCUAUCAUUCCAUGUAUAAUCAGGUGCUUCCAGGAUUGUCUUGUCGAGGACAAUGUAUCAGUUUAUGGAUGAACGCAUAAAAUAUCAUAGGAUUAGGGAUCAGCUGUAAGCUCCGCGUGUGAGGUGAUGGGAGAUGUCGGCAUAGGGAGGGGGAGAUGUAGUAGGCGUGGCAAGGAAAACGGGAUGUGACGCGUACAGGCUCCCUAUGCCAUAUGUGAAUGCCAAGUAUCGCUUUAUGAUUGGCGGAGGUAUCUGUACUUAAACACGCAGCACGUAGCAAUAAACGUCAUUUUGCCUCGCUUGCUUCUGGGGUCCGUGUGAGCAUUUGGCCCCGACCUGGUCAGGGUCAGUUUCGCUGAGUUGCAGUGUCCUUAGCAGACAGAGGACGAACACCAUCAAGAGAUACCAGAGAGCGGCAACAAAUGUUUAAAGCAAAAAUAUUGUUACAAUAGGAGAUAUAUUUUAGAUAGCAUAAACUUAAACUCCUAACUAGCACAAAAAUUAUUCUCUGUCCUGGAAUAUUUUAUGCUUCCUCAUGCUAUUCCAGAGAAGAUAUGUAUGCAGAUACACAGAAUGUAAUGUUCUAUGACUUUUUUGUUUGUUUGUUUUAACUGGCUCAUAGCUAGCAAUUACUUGGUGAGCAAAAGCGUUAUUCCACACAUCUCGUGAUUAACGCUACAAAGUGACUGCUCAGUACCACCACUUUUGUUGUUUUGUUUUUAAGAUACUGUAAUCUUCUGAGUAAAUUAGAAAAUUACUUUACUGAAAUGCUACUACUACCAAGAACUCUUCAGUUCCUCAUCUCAUUUACUGUUGCCAAGCUGAUAAAUAUGAAUCAGUACCAGCAGACAACCUCCAAGGAACAUUAUUUUCCUCGAGUGGAGCAAGCUCUACAGCUAUGAUGUACUGGAGGGACCUUCAAAACAACUGCCACCCAUCAGCCGUGAAGUGAAGAGUCAGGUCCAAGACUUGAAACUCCAAAACCCAUCAGAACUUGAGGGAAAACACUUGCAUGUCACUCACAGGCUGUCUCUCCCAGUAGCUUUGUAGAGAUUCUGAGUUUGCUGCAUCCCUCAUAAAUUUAUUUACCUUACUGGAAAUACUUGGCUUUUCAUUCACUAUGAAACAAUGAGAUCUGACCUCAUGCAACAUUAAAGUUACUGCACCUUAUCUCUCAGCAUCAGUAAAACAAGGCAUUUAUAUCUUCUCAAAAACCGCAAAGAAAAAUGCUUCACCUGCAAUACUGUCUCCACUGUGGGUUUGGGGAUGACUGAUUUUUUUUUUUUUAAAGAAUGGAAAUGUACAGAAAAAAGGACAUUGAAACAAAAAACAACAAGUUCCUCUACCUGUUUUAAAAACUGAGUAUGUGAGUUCUGAUUUUCUUUCUCUCCCCUCACUUCUCAACUAAAAUACUUUCUAGUAAGAACAGCAACAGACCAAAGGAAGCAACUGAUCUAUAAAGCCCAGGAGGAGUGAAAAUUUGAAUUCUAUAACUUUGCAAACAAGUUGCUCUGAGUCAGUUUACCCACAUCCAAAUCUAUGCUCUUGUCUAUUCUCAUUUCCCACAGGUAGUUACGGCAGUAGCAAUUUGAAGUAUUUUGUAAAUAACUGACUGGUAUUCAGCCUGUUGCUUUAUUUCCUCUCCUAUAAUUGAGUUGUGGUGGUUUGACAUUUUGAUUCAGUGUUGUAGAAAGAGCAGACACAAUUUACUGAAAUUUCUGUGGUUGAUGCAUUUAGGGAAAAAAUAAUGAUUCCAUUUUGCAAUGCAUUCAUUAAGGGAAAAGUACUUACAUUUGUUUGCAGAAUCAAGUAGUCAUCAGGAACAAGAAGAAUGUGGAACUUUCCUCCUUGGGCUGAGCAACAACUUUGGGCAGGAUGGUUCUGACCUAUGGUCUGAUUUCCACAGUUAUUUGAAAACUACUUGCAAAGCCAUUUUGGUACUCUUUGGUCUUCACCUGUAUAUAUGAAGGGUAUCUGCUACACACGGCAUGAUAGGAGAGGGGGAAUGUAGAGACAUAAUGGCAAAGGGCCAAGUCAUUGUAAGGUGUCAUCUCUGGAAUCCAGAUCAUGUAAAACAUGAGAACUGACAACAUAAAUCUUCCUGCUCUCCCCUGCCCCUUCACCUCUAUUCCUGGGGGCAAGUAGACUUCUGCACACCCUUUUAGAACUGACAGAUUCUACCUUAAUCAGAGCUGAGGAUGCCAAUUCCUGGCAUUGAAUCCAUUUGCACCAGAUUUAGCCUGAGUAGGGCCUGCUCAGGCUGAGUGGGUUGGAAAAGAGGAAUUGAAAGAAAACAACUGAGACAUUCUCAUUGCUGUGGAGUAAUGAAGGAACUUCCCCAUCCCCAAGCCAGGGACAUGAUUUAGUGGAGGGUUGUUAAAAGCUGGGGCAGUUUGGUUAGGUUGUGGUUGGACUAGAUGAUCUUUAAAGCCUUUUCCAACCCGAGCAAUGCUAAGCCCUUUGAGGUCACUUUCUGAAAUACAGUAUAUUCCUGGCCCAUUAAUACCUCCAUACUCCUGUGCAGAGGUCCAUCCACAGCCAACAAAUGCCAGAGCCUCCUUUAGCCCAUUUCCUCCACAAAAUCCUCCAGGUGAUGCUGCUUGGACUGGCUCAGUAACAGCUCAGCGGAGUUGAUAGAGUACAACAAUGUUGAAAAUAGUCCCAUGAUCCUUACAUUGACACCAGCUUCUUUUUUAGCAAGGGGGAAAAUGAAGCUGUUGUUUCCUACAAGUUGUGUCUCUUCAGCUAGAGAAUCAUGAAAUAUCAACUGUAAAAAAUGGUAUUUUUAUGCAGCUAUUUGUGCUUACAUUGUUUCCACUAAUAAAUUUCAACUUUGUUUUGUUGUUGCCAUCAAAAUGUACUCUUCUGUAUACAAAAGCAAAGCUCUUCAACAGUUUUUUGUAAAAGAUGCAUAUUGGAAAAAAAGCAUAGGAAUAAAGGAGAAGGCUAUUAGGAAGUGGCAAAACUAUAAGGUAACUAAAAUGUAAAUUUUAGUAUAUUGGAGAGAGAUUUGUGGCCUAGGAGAUGCAUGGAUAGGUUCUUUCUUUACAGAGAUUUUUUUUUUUUUACACAUGCUAUAUAGUCAAGUAUAGACAUAUGAACUUGUUAUCUCUAUCUGUAGACAACACUUUUGUGGUCACUAAGGACUUUCAUGUUUGCAACAUUCAAAAUCUUACUACUUUAUAACUUAAAAAUCACAAGACCUAUAAUUCAAGUUCGUAUGAAAUUUAAACAACUUCAAUCACCUCUUUUGUUUUAAAAGAAUUUGACUUCUGGUUUAAAAUUAAGAAUAUAUUUAUGUGAAUCUCAAGGUUGGAAUCCUCGAAGGAAACCAGACA
This 7064-nucleotide long non-coding RNA is filed under the name Gallus gallus (chicken). RNAcentral's name for it is "lncRNA (ENSGALG00010026986.1)". Lineage: Eukaryota; Metazoa; Chordata; Aves; Galliformes; Phasianidae. The record is from RNAcentral.